AUUGAACGCUGGCGGCAUGCCUUACACAUGCAAGUCGAACGGCAGCACGGGGGCAACCCUGGUGGCGAGUGGCGAACGGGUGAGUAAUACAUCGGAACGUGCCCCGUAGCGGGGGACAACCAGUCGAAAGACUGGCUAAUACCGCAUACGCUCCACGGAGGAAAGCAGGGGAUCGCAAGACCUUGCACUAUGGGAGCGGCCGAUGCCCGAUUAGCUAGUUGGUGAGGUAAAGGCUCACCAAGGCACGAUCGGUAGCUGGUCUGAGAGGACGACCAGCCACACUGGGACUGAGACACGG
This 298-nucleotide ribosomal RNA is filed under the name uncultured bacterium. Its description in RNAcentral is "partial 16S ribosomal RNA". It matches the Rfam family "Bacterial small subunit ribosomal RNA", at positions 29 to 329 of the family's 1533-position model. The record is from RNAcentral.